GAUGAACGCUGGCGGCGUGCCUAAUACAUGCAAGUCGAGCGAACAGAUGAGGAGCUUGCUCCUCUGACGUUAGCGGCGGACGGGUGAGUAACACGUGGAUAACCUACCUAUAAGACUGGGAUAACUUCGGGAAACCGGAGCUAAUACCGGAUAAUAUAUUGAACCGCAUGGUUCAAUAGUGAAAGACGGUUUUGCUGUCACUUAUAGAUGGAUCCGCGCCGCAUUAGCUAGUUGGUAAGGUAACGGCUUACCAAGGCAACGAUGCGUGGCCGACCUGAGAGGGUGAUCGGCCACACUGGAACGAGGACACGGUCCAGACUCCUACGGGAGGCAGCAGUAGGGAAUCUUCCGCAAUGGGCGAAAGCCUGACGGAGCAACGCCGCGUGAGUGAUGAAGGUCUUCGGAUCGUAAAACUCUGUUAUUAGGGAAGAACAAAUGUGUAAGUAACUAUGCACGUCUUGACGGUACCUAAUCAGAAAGCCACGGCUAACUACGUG
Molecule: ribosomal RNA, 497 nt
Filed under: uncultured bacterium
Lineage: Bacteria
Description: partial 16S ribosomal RNA
Rfam family: Bacterial small subunit ribosomal RNA
Source: RNAcentral